This 503-nucleotide ribosomal RNA is filed under the name uncultured bacterium. RNAcentral's name for it is "partial 16S ribosomal RNA". It matches the Rfam family "Bacterial small subunit ribosomal RNA", at positions 30 to 523 of the family's 1533-position model. The record is from RNAcentral.
AUUGAACGCUGGCGGCAGGCUUAACACAUGCAAGUCGAGCGGGGUGAUGGUGCUUGCACUAUCACUUAGCGGCGGACGGGUGAGUAAUGCUUAGGAAUCUGCCUAUUAGUGGGGGACAACAUCUCGAAAGGGAUGCUAAUACCGCAUACGUCCUACGGGAGAAAGCAGGGGAUCACUUGUGACCUUGCGCUAAUAGAUGAGCCUAAGUCGGAUUAGCUAGUUGGUGGGGUAAAGGCCUACCAAGGCGACGAUCUGUAGCGGGUCUGAGAGGAAUGUCCGCCACACUGGGGCUGAGACACGGCCCGGACUCCUACGGGGGGCAGCAGUGGGGAAUAUUGGACAAUGGGGGGAACCCUGAUCCAGCCAUGCCGCGUGUGUGAAGAAGGCCUUAUGGUUGUAAAGCACUUUAAGCGAGGAGGAGGCUCUUUUGGUUAAUACCCAAGAUGAGUGGACGUUACUCGCAGAAUAAGCACCGGCUAACUCUGUGCCAGCAGCCGCCGUAA